AAAAAAUUGAUUUGGCUAGAAAAGAAAUUCAAAUUUGCCGCCUAAAUUUGAGUGUUGAUUUGUGUUCAAUGCUUGGUUUCGCAUUAAGUACCCGUCAAAUUUGAGGGAGAAAAGGGGUGUGGGUGUUGGGUAGCCAGCACAUAUGCACAUAUCAGGUAAAAGUGUAAUGGGACUUGUGCAGGUGUUUGGGGUGACUUUAGACCUGUUAGAUGUGAUAUUUGGAGGUGCAAAGAAACCGGAUGUGCCAUUUUCCUAGAUUGUAGUAACUGCUGGUGCAUGCUGGGAGUCUAUACAAGCCUCAUGUUGUCAGAUGUUGUGAAGAUGCACUGGAUUUGACCGUGUGUGUUGUGGAUUGUGGAAUUGAAUAUACAGUUUGUAAUGGCUCAUCCUAUGUGUUCUAAUUCACGGAGACAAUGUCUUUCAGUCAUUUCACCCAAGGAGGCAUGCAUAUACGGAUUGAUAGGCUUUGACAACAAACAACCAAAAUGGCGGCCGGUGAAUUAGAAAGUGUCUGAGUGCAUGUAGGAUAUCUGAACGGAGAAUAGGAGUACUGCAUCCCAUCUGAUCCUGCAGGUAAGUGUUUAUUUGUUUACAAUGACAGUCGGGAUGGAAUGUCAAUGAGUUCAACUGUCAAGUAAAGUUGCAUCAUCAUUAUAAAAAAAAACAACUUAGUCUUUAUGUUGAUGCAGGCAGACAAUUGAAUCUGGCCUAUGUCUUUUCAUGAAUGUAAAUGGAAUUCAUGUUUGAUUGACAAGACAGUCAAGAAAUGGAAGAAGUGGGUGUAGGUCAGAUGUGUAGGUGUAGGUCAGAUUAGCUAGAAUCCUGUAAUUGUUGCAUGGCAUGAGACCGGUCAAAAUAGUGUAUUGAAACAGCUGAUCACAAUCAGAUCACUUGAAGGGUGGGGGAUUUCUUCCUUGGGGACGACAGGCGUGAUGGGUGGGUUGGCCUUACUCGUGGAGACUGGCCCCUGGAUGCGUGACCUUGACCUUUGACCUUGACCCACUUUCAAGGUCAAACCUCAAAAAUCCUGUUGUUGGGCAUGAAACCGGUCAAAAUAGUGUAUUAUAAACAGCUGAGGACAGACAGAUCACUUGAAGGGUGGGGGGUUUCUUCCUUGGGGACGACAGGCGUGAUGGGUGGGUUGGCCUUACUCGCGGAGACUGGCCCCUGGAUGCGUGACCUUGACCUUUGACCUUGACCCACGUUCAAGGUCAAACUUCAAAAACCCAUGGGGGAGAAAGUGUGACUUUGACCUUGACCUGAUUUUGAAGGUCAGAGAGGUCACGGGGCUUCGUUUAAGUGGUCCCGCAUCCCUAUCUACAUCCGUGAAGAAGUUGUGGGCUCGAACGACGACGUCGGAGACUUUCGGGGGCGAGAACCGUGCUUCGGGGUUCUCGGUUUCCCUCGGUCAACUUUUCUGUGCGAGAGCGUUUCAUCUGGAAUUCGUCGGCGAAGGUCUCGCCUCUCCACGACUUGCGGUCUAGUGAGAGUAGCGAUAACGGGGUUUUCGACGUUAAGUCGCCGCCAUUCGCAGAGUGGUCAAAGUUCAGAGUUGACAUUCGUGAUGCCGAGACCGGUCCAAAAUUCCUUGCUGACCCAUGUGAUAUUUCGAUGCUAUCUGAAGCGUGAAAGAGCGUAUAAAAAGUGCCAUUUUCUGGCCAUUCUGGAUGACCUUGACCUUUGACCUUGACCUACUUUUUCAAGGUCAAGGUCACCCAACCCGUCCCAGUGGGUUCCGUCUCUCUACGACGAAGACUUUAGGAGUCGUCAAUUUGUAGGGGACAAAUCGCAAAACAUGAGGGGGCAUUAACUCCCUUUAGGGGACACCGAAUCCCUUCAUUUGAAAUUCUUCGCUUCUACUAAUUACCCUCUGUGUUUUAGAAAAGGUUUCAUCCUCCUAUCAUUUACGGUUACAAAGUAGAAGUGCUAACAAUGAUUUCUGCGAAAGGUCAAAUAACUCCGUAAGGGGUCAAAGUUCAAUUACGCAGGGUGAACUGUAUUCGUUUCUCAAGAAGUACUAUAUGAUGGACUAUAAAGUUUUUCGAUAAGUCUUAAGACGAAGAUUUUUUUUGACGGCAGGAAAAUAAUAAUAAUAAUAAUAAUAACUAGUGAUCCUAAUUGUUCGCGAACAAUUAGAGGGCUUCCCACCUUCUAGCGGUUUUUCAGUAGUGUUGAAAUGCUAAAAGCCCCCCCCCCCCCCCCCCCCCCUACCCCAUCCCACCCUCACCCAAAAAAAAAAAAAAAAAAAAAAAAAAAAAUGGAUUUGGCUAGAAAAGAAAUUCAAAUUUGCCGCCUAAAUUUGAGUGUUGAGGUGUGUUCAAUGCUUGGUUUCGCAUUAAGUACCCGUCAAAUUUGAGGGAGAAAAGGGGUGUGGGUGUUGGGUAGCCAGCACAUAUGCACAUAUCAGGUAAAAGUGUAAUGGGACUUGUGCAGGUGUUUGGGGUGACUUUAGACCUGUUAGAUGUGAUAUUUGGAGGUGCAAAGAAACCGGAUGUGCCAUUUUCCUAGAUUGUAGUAACUGCUGGUGCAUGCUGGGAGUCUAUACAAGCCUCAUGUUGUCAGAUGUUGUGAAGAUGCACUGGAUUUGACCGUGUGUGUUGUGGAUUGUGGAAUUGAAUAUACAGUUUGUAAUGGCUCAUCCUAUGUGUUCUAAUUCACGGAGACAAUGUCUUUCAGUCAUUUCACCCAAGGAGGCAUGCAUAUACGGAUUGAUAGGCUUUGACAACAAACAACCAAAAUGGCGGCCGGUGAAUUAGAAAGUGUCUGAGUGCAUGUAGGAUAUCUGAACGGAGAAUAGGAGUACUGCAUCCCAUCUGAUCCUGCAGUCAUUUCACCCAAGGAGGCAUGCAUAUACGGAUUGAUAGGCUUUGACAACAAACAACCAAAAUGGCGGCCGGUGAAUUAGAAAGUGUCUGAGUGCAUGUAGGAUAUCUGAACGGAGAAUAGGAGUACUGCAUCCCAUCUGAUCCUGCAGGUAAGUGUUUAUUUGUUUACAAUGACAGUCGGGAUGGAAUGUCAAUGAGUUCAACUGUCAAGUAAAGUUGCAUCAUCAUUAUAAAAAAAAACAACUUAGUCUUUAUGUUGAUGCAGGCAGACAAUUGAAUCUGGCCUAUGUCUUUUCAUGAAUGUAAAUGGAAUUCAUGUUUGAUUGACAAGACAGUCAAGAAAUGGAAGAAGUGGGUGUAGGUCAGAUGUGUAGGUGUAGGUCAGAUUAGCUAGAAUCCUGUAAUUGUUGCAUGGCAUGAGACCGGUCAAAAUAGUGUAUUGAAACAGCUGAUCACAAUCAGAUCACUUGAAGGGUGGGGGAUUUCUUCCUUGGGGACGACAGGCGUGAUGGGUGGGUUGGCCUUACUCGUGGAGACUGGCCCCUGGAUGCGUGACCUUGACCUUUGACCUUGACCCACUUUCAAGGUCAAACCUCAAAAAUCCUGUUGUUGGGCAUGAAACCGGUCAAAAUAGUGUAUUAUAAACAGCUGAGGACAGACAGAUCACUUGAAGGGUGGGGGGUUUCUUCCUUGGGGACGACAGGCGUGAUGGGUGGGUUGGCCUUACUCGCGGAGACUGGCCCCUGGAUGCGUGACCUUGACCUUUGACCUUGACCCACGUUCAAGGUCAAACUUCAAAAACCCAUGGGGGAGAAAGUGUGACUUUGACCUUGACCUGAUUUUGAAGGUCAGAGAGGUCACGGGGCUUCGUUUAAGUGGUCCCGCAUCCCUAUCUACAUCCGUGAAGAAGUUGUGGGCUCGAACGACGACGUCGGAGACUUUCGGGGGCGAGAACCGUGCUUCGGGGUUCUCGGUUUCCCUCGGUCAACUUUUCUGUGCGAGAGCGUUUCAUCUGGAAUUCGUCGGCGAAGGUCUCGCCUCUCCACGACUUGCGGUCUAGUGAGAGUAGCGAUAACGGGGUUUUCGACGUUAAGUCGCCGCCAUUCGCAGAGUGGUCAAAGUUCAGAGUUGACAUUCGUGAUGCCGAGACCGGUCCAAAAUUCCUUGCUGACCCAUGUGAUAUUUCGAUGCUAUCUGAAGCGUGAAAGAGCGUAUAAAAAGUGCCAUUUUCUGGCCAUUCUGGAUGACCUUGACCUUUGACCUUGACCUACUUUUUCAAGGUCAAGGUCACCCAACCCGUCCCAGUGGGUUCCGUCUCUCUACGACGAAGACUUUAGGAGUCGUCAAUUUGUAGGGGACAAAUCGCAAAACAUGAGGGGGCAUUAACUCCCUUUAGGGGACACCGAAUCCCUUCAUUUGAAAUUCUUCGCUUCUACUAAUUACCCUCUGUGUUUUAGAAAAGGUUUCAUCCUCCUAUCAUUUACGGUUACAAAGUAGAAGUGCUAACAAUGAUUUCUGCGAAAGGUCAAAUAACUCCGUAAGGGGUCAAAGUUCAAUUACGCAGGGUGAACUGUAUUCGUUUCUCAAGAAGUACUAUAUGAUGGACUAUAAAGUUUUUCGAUAAGUCUUAAGACGAAGAUUUUUUUUGACGGCAGGAAAAUAAUAAUAAUAAUAAUAAUAACUAGUGAUCCUAAUUGUUCGCGAACAAUUAGAGGGCUUCCCACCUUCUAGCGGUUUUUCAGUAGUGUUGAAAUGCUAAAAGCCCCCCCCCCCCCCCCCCCCCCUACCCCAUCCCACCCUCACCCAAAAAAAAAAAAAAAAAAAAAAAAAAAAAUGGAUUUGGCUAGAAAAGAAAUUCAAAUUUGCCGCCUAAAUUUGAGUGUUGAGGUGUGUUCAAUGCUUGGUUUCGCAUUAAGUACCCGUCAAAUUUGAGGGAGAAAAGGGGUGUGGGUGUUGGGUAGCCAGCACAUAUGCACAUAUCAGGUAAAAGUGUAAUGGGACUUGUGCAGGUGUUUGGGGUGACUUUAGACCUGUUAGAUGUGAUAUUUGGAGGUGCAAAGAAACCGGAUGUGCCAUUUUCCUAGAUUGUAGUAACUGCUGGUGCAUGCUGGGAGUCUAUACAAGCCUCAUGUUGUCAGAUGUUGUGAAGAUGCACUGGAUUUGACCGUGUGUGUUGUGGAUUGUGGAAUUGAAUAUACAGUUUGUAAUGGCUCAUCCUAUGUGUUCUAAUUCACGGAGACAAUGUCUUUCAGUCAUUUCACCCAAGGAGGCAUGCAUAUACGGAUUGAUAGGCUUUGACAACAAACAACCAAAAUGGCGGCCGGUGAAUUAGAAAGUGUCUGAGUGCAUGUAGGAUAUCUGAACGGAGAAUAGGAGUACUGCAUCCCAUCUGAUCCUGCAGGUAAGUGUUUAUUUGUUUACAAUGACAGUCGGGAUGGAAUGUCAAUGAGUUCAACUGUCAAGUAAAGUUGCAUCAUCAUUAUAAAAAAAAACAACUUAGUCUUUAUGUUGAUGCAGGCAGACAAUUGAAUCUGGCCUAUGUCUUUUCAUAAAUGUAAAUGGAAUUCAUGUUUGAUUGACAAGACAGUCAAGAAAUGGAAGAAGUGGGUGUAGGUCAGAUGUGUAGGUGUAGGUCAGAUUAGCUAGAAUCCUGUAAUUGUUGCAUGGCAUGAGACCGGUCAAAAUAGUGUAUUGAAACAGCUGAUCACAAUCAGAUCACUUGAAGGGUGGGGGGUUUCUUCCUUGGGGACGACAGGCGUGAUGGGUGGGUUGGCCUUACUCGUGGAGACUGGCCCCUGGAUGCGUGACCUUGACCUUUGACCUUGACCCACUUUCAAGGUCAAACCUCAAAAAUCCUGUUGUUGGGCAUGAAACCGGUCAAAAUAGUGUAUUAUAAACAGCUGAGGACAGACAGAUCACUUGAAGGGUGGGGGGUUUCUUCCUUGGGGACGACAGGCGUGAUGGGUGGGUUGGCCUUACUCGUGGAGACUGGCCCCUGGAUGCGUGACCUUGACCUUUGACCUUGACCCACUUUCAAGGUCAAACCUCAAAAACCCAUGGGGGGAGAAAGUGUGACCUUGACCUUUGACCUUGACCUGAUUUUGAAGGUCAGAGAGGUCACGGGGCUUCGUUUAAGUGGUCCCGCAUCCCUAUCUACAUCCGUGAAGAAGUUGUGGGCUCGAACGACGACGUCGGAGACUUUCGGGGGCGAGAACCGUGCUUCGGGGUUCUCGGUUUCCCCCGGUCAACUUCUCUGUGCGAGAGCGUUUCAUCUGGAAUUCGUCGGCGAAGGUCUCGCCUCUCCACGACUUGCGGUCUAGUGGGAGUAGCGAUAACGGGGUUUUCGACGUUAAGUCGCCGCCUUUCGCAGAGCGGUCAAAGUUCAGAGUUGUAAUUCAGGAUUCCGAGACCGGUCCAGAAUUCCAUGCUGACCCAUGUGAUAUUUCGAUGCUAUCUGAAGCGGGAAAGAGCGUAUAAAAAGUGCCAUUUUCUGGCCAUUCUGGAUGACCUUGACCUUUGACCUUGACCUACUUUUUCAAGGUCAAGGUCACCCAACCCGUCCCAGUGGGUUCCGUCUCUCUACGACGAAGACUUUAGGAGUCGUCAAUUUGUAGGGGACAAAUCGCAAAACAUGAGGGGGCAUUAACUCCCUUUAGGGGACACCGAAUCCCUUCAUUUGAAAUUCUUCGCUUCUACUAAUUACCCUCUGUGUUUUAGAAAAGGUUUCAUCCUCCUAUCAUUUACGGUUACAAAGUAGAAGUGCUAACAAUGAUUUCUGCGAAAGGUCAAAUAACUCCGUAAGGGGUCAAAGUUCAAUUACGCAGGGUGAACUGUAUUCGUUUCUCAAGAAGUACUAUAUGAUGGACUAUAAAGUUUUUCGAUAAGUCUUAAGACGAAGAUUUUUUUUGACGGCAGGAAAAUAAUAAUAAUAAUAAUAAUAACUAGUGAUCCUAAUUGUUCGCGAACAAUUAGAGGGCUUCCCACCUUCUAGCGGUUUUUCAGUAGUGUUGAAAUGCUAAAAGCCCCCCCCCCCCCCCCCCCCCCUACCCCAUCCCACCCUCACCCAAAAAAAAAAAAAAAAAAAAAAAAAAAAAUGGAUUUGGCUAGAAAAGAAAUUCAAAUUUGCCGCCUAAAUUUGAGUGUUGAGGUGUGUUCAAUGCUUGGUUUCGCAUUAAGUACCCGUCAAAUUUGAGGGAGAAAAGGGGUGUGGGUGUUGGGUAGCCAGCACAUAUGCACAUAUCAGGUAAAAGUGUAAUGGGACUUGUGCAGGUGUUUGGGGUGACUUUAGACCUGUUAGAUGUGAUAUUUGGAGGUGCAAAGAAACCGGAUGUGCCAUUUUCCUAGAUUGUAGUAACUGCUGGUGCAUGCUGGGAGUCUAUACAAGCCUCAUGUUGUCAGAUGUUGUGAAGAUGCACUGGAUUUGACCGUGUGUGUUGUGGAUUGUGGAAUUGAAUAUACAGUUUGUAAUGGCUCAUCCUAUGUGUUCUAAUUCACGGAGACAAUGUCUUUCAGUCAUUUCACCCAAGGAGGCAUGCAUAUACGGAUUGAUAGGCUUUGACAACAAACAACCAAAAUGGCGGCCGGUGAAUUAGAAAGUGUCUGAGUGCAUGUAGGAUAUCUGAACGGAGAAUAGGAGUACUGCAUCCCAUCUGAUCCUGCAGAACAAUCUAAAAAUAUGAAGAAAAUUAUACAACCCAGAGAUAUUAUCAACAGCUGACGACAGGCCCCCGAUCUAAAAAGAAGAUGUUAACCAAAGCCCCGUUUUACAACCCGGGAGAAUAUUCCAUCUGUUCAGAAAUGUGGCGAACAUAGAUGCGGGACCUGUAGCUUUAUCAAGGAAGGAAACAAAAUCCAGCUUAAAUCGGGAAUGGAAAUCCACGCCAAUUUUUCAAUGAACUGCAAAUCGGAAAAUUUUAUUUACUGUGACAUUUGCCCGACUUGCAAAGAAUUUUAAAUUGGACAGACCAGUAAAUUAAUUGCAUGCGCGGGUUCGUGUCCACAAGCAACAAAUAAAAAAAGUAAGUGUCCGAAAUACGCCAUGCUGUGAAUAUUUUUCCAAAUGCGGAAAUGGAAAAUUUAUUUCAUUCCCUUUAUAUAAACUUCCGAAUAACAAUGAAGAUCUUCGUUUAAGAAAGGAGGAUUAUUUCAUCAAACAUUUUUAAACCUAAACUUAAUCGUAAAUAGCUUUAAAUGCAUUUAUUCUAUGUACAUCAGUAUUAUCAUAUAUAUAUCAACGUUACUAUAAAACAAUGACUCUCUUAGAGUCUUCAGUUCUUCUUCAUGCAAACUGUUAUAAAUAUCCAACUUCUGAGUCCCAUUGUUCACCACUAUUCUGUCCUGGACAGAGUACAACUCCAGGUAACCCUCGACGGUAUUCUUUGCAAACAGGAUGCCUGGUUCUGUCAGAAUGCUAUCUCCGACUGUCUUAAACUGCAUUUCCUCAAUAGUAGCUGGUUCACCACUGCUGUCUUGGUAUCCUCCUCCCUCUACUCAGGCUCUCACCUCGUUUCCUAUACCAAAAUCGCCGUUUUGCCAUCUGGAGUGUGUUUCUACAAAUCUUUGCGUAUGUUAUAACGUGAUCGGGUGAACUAUAUUCCUGAAUGCUGUGGAGCAUGAAUUGUGCUCUCACCAUUAUAUCAUCGGUGUGUAGCGGUAGGCAUGAGAAUAGAAAUUGAAAAUAUAGCGAUAGGCGUGAGAAUAGAAAUUGAGAAUAUGGCGAUAGGUGUGAGAAUAGAAAUUGAGAAUAUAGGCAUCAAAAUAGAAUAUAGCGAUAGGCGUGAGAAUAGAAUAUAGCAAUAGGCGUGAGAAUAGAAUAUAGCA
Molecule: long non-coding RNA, 8645 nt
Organism: Ostrea edulis (European flat oyster)
Lineage: Eukaryota; Metazoa; Mollusca; Bivalvia; Ostreida; Ostreidae
Exons: 3
Source: RefSeq, a predicted model, not a curated record